GGCGGCCUUAGCGCGGUGGUCCCACCUGACCCCAUGCCGAACUCAGAAGUGAAACGCCGUAGCGCCGAUGGUAGUGUGGGGUUUCCCCAUGCGAGAGUAGGGAACUGCCAGGCAU
Molecule: ribosomal RNA, 115 nt
Filed under: Escherichia coli PCN033
Lineage: Bacteria; Pseudomonadati; Pseudomonadota; Gammaproteobacteria; Enterobacterales; Enterobacteriaceae
Source: RNAcentral